This 72-nucleotide transfer RNA is filed under the name Dendropoma nebulosum. RNAcentral's name for it is "tRNA-Leu". The record is from RNAcentral. Lineage: Eukaryota; Metazoa; Mollusca; Gastropoda; Littorinimorpha; Vermetidae.
GCGGAAAGUGGCAGAAUAGUGCAUCGGUUUUAGAUACCGGGAAUGAGACAAGUAUGUUGGGCUCCUUCUGCA